RNAcentral lists this ribosomal RNA (497 nucleotides) under uncultured bacterium. RNAcentral describes it as "partial 16S ribosomal RNA". It matches the Rfam family "Bacterial small subunit ribosomal RNA", at positions 28 to 507 of the family's 1533-position model. The record is from RNAcentral.
GAUGAACGCUGGCGGCGUGCCUAAUACAUGCAAGUCGAGCGAACAGACGAGGAGCUUGCUCCUCUGACGUUAGCGGCGGACGGGUGAGUAACACGUGGAUAACCUACCUAUAAGACUGGGAUAACUUCGGGAAACCGGAGCUAAUACCGGAUAAUAUAUUGAACCGCAUGGUUCAAUAGUGAAAGACGGUUUUGCUGUCACUUAUAGAUGGAUCCGCGCCGCAUUAGCUAGUUGGUAAGGUAACGGCUUACCAAGGCAACGAUGCGUAGCCGACCUGAGAGGGUGAUCGGCCACACUGGAGCUGAGACGCGGUCCAGACUCCUACGGGAGGCAGCAGUAGGGAAUCUUCCGCAAUGGGCGAAAGCCUGACGGAGCAGCGCCGCGUGAGUGAUGAAGGUCUUCGGAUCGUAAAGCUCUGUUAUUAGGGAAGAACAAAUGUGUAAGUAACUAUGCACGUCUUGACGGUACCUAAUCAGAAAGCCACGGCUAACUACGUG